GGGCGUAAAGAGCUCGUAGGCGGUUUGUCGCGUCUGCCGUGAAAGUCCGGGGCUCAACUCGGGAUCUGCGGUGGGUACGGGCAGACUAGAGUGAUGUAGGGGAGACUGGAAUUCCUGGUGUAGCGGUGAAAUGCGCAGAUAUCAGGAGGAACACCGAUGGCGAAGGCAGGUCUCUGGGCAUUAACUGACGCUGAGGAGCGAAAGCAUGGGGAGCGAACAGGAUUAGAUACCCUGGUAGUCCAUGCCGUAAACGUUGGGCACUAGGUGUGGGGGACAUUCCACGUUUUCCGCGCCGUAGCUAACGCAUUAAGUGCCCCGCCUGGGGAGUACGGCCGCAAGGCUAAAACUCAAAGGAAUUGACGGGGGCCCGCACAAGCGGCGGAGCAUGCGGAUUAAUUCGAUGCAACGCGAAGAACCUUACCAAGGCUUGACAUGAACCGGAAAGACCUGGAAACAGGUGCCCCGCUUGCGGUCGGUUUACAGGUGGUGCAUGGUUGUCGUCAGCUCGUGUCGUGAGAUGUUGGGUUAAGUCCCGCAACGAGCGCAACCCUCGUUCUAUGUUGCCAGCACGUGAUGGUGGGGACUCAUAGGAGACUGCCGGGGUCAACUCGGAGGAAGGUGGGGACGACGUCAAAUCAUCAUGCCCCUUAUGUCUUGGGCUUCACGCAUGCUACAAUGGCCGGUACAAAGGGUUGCGAUACUGUGAGGUGGAGCUAAUCCCAAAAAGCCGGUCUCAGUUCGGAUUGGGGUCUGCAACUCGACCCCAUGAAGUCGGAGUCGCUAGUAAUCGCAGAUCAGCAACGCUGCGGUGAAUACGUUCCCGGGCCUUGUACACACCGCCCGUCAAGUCACGAAAGUUGGUAACACCCGAAGUCUCGGUGGCCUACCCCCUUGGGGAUCGAGCUCCAGUAGAGUU
RNAcentral lists this ribosomal RNA (916 nucleotides) under Pseudarthrobacter sp. RNAcentral describes it as "bacterial SSU rRNA". It matches the Rfam family "Bacterial small subunit ribosomal RNA", at positions 556 to 1466 of the family's 1533-position model. Lineage: Bacteria; Bacillati; Actinomycetota; Actinomycetes; Micrococcales; Micrococcaceae. The record is from RNAcentral.